GAAAUGCGAUAAGUAAUGUGAAUUGCAGAAUUCAGUGAAUCAUCGAAUCUUUGAACGCACAUUGCGCCCGCCAGUAUUCUGGCGGGCAUGCCUGUCCGAGCGUCAUUUCAACCAUCAAGCCCCCGGGCUUGUGUUGGGGACCUGCGGUUGCCCGCAGGCCCUGAAAACCAGUGGCGGGCUCGCUGUCACACCGAGCGUAGUAGCAAUCACCUCGCUCAGGGCGUGCUGCGGGUUCCGGCCGUUAAACAGCCUUACAAAACCCAAGGUUGACCUCGGAUCAGGUAGGAAGACCCUCUGAACUUAAGC
RNAcentral lists this unclassified non-coding RNA (306 nucleotides) under plant metagenome. Its description in RNAcentral is "partial contains 5.8S ribosomal RNA, internal transcribed spacer 2, and large subunit ribosomal RNA". The stretch from base 1 to 105 matches the Rfam family "5.8S ribosomal RNA", at positions 50 to 154 of the family's 154-position model. The record is from RNAcentral.